AGUGUUUACAUUGAAAGCUAGGAACACCUCCAGUUGCAGUCACUCAGAAUGAACCAGAGAGACUUCAGAGUUGAUGGAGGCAUACUAUGCCUCCAUCCAUUUAGAUCUGCUGUCAGCAGAGCACAUGGCAGCACUGUGCACAGCAUCCUGUGAUUCAGUAUCGCCUCCCUCUGCAUGCAGACGCUGACCAUUCCUCAUAGAGAUUCAUUG
Molecule: non-coding RNA, 210 nt
Organism: Pelobates cultripes (western spadefoot toad)
Lineage: Eukaryota; Metazoa; Chordata; Amphibia; Anura; Pelobatidae
Source: the annotation of a GenBank genome assembly